CCCUUAGAUGUUCUGGGCCGCACGCGCGUUACACUGAUGCAUUCAACGAGUUUUUCCUUGGCCGAGAGGCCUGGGCAAUCUUUUAAACGUGCAUCGUGAUAGGGAUAGAUUAUUGCAAUUAUUAAUCUUGAACGAGGAAUUCCUAGUAAACGCAGAUCAUCAAUCUGCAUUGAUUACGUCCCUGCCCUUUGUACACACCGCCCGUCGCACCUACCGAUUGAAUGGUCCGGUGAAGCCUCGGGAUUGUGGCGAGUUCCCUUUAUUGGGAGUUUGUCGCGAGAACUUGUCUAAACCUUAUCAUUUAGAGGAAGGUGAAGUCGUAACA
RNAcentral lists this ribosomal RNA (325 nucleotides) under uncultured eukaryote. Its description in RNAcentral is "partial 18S ribosomal RNA". It matches the Rfam family "Eukaryotic small subunit ribosomal RNA", at positions 1470 to 1796 of the family's 1831-position model. The record is from RNAcentral.